This 238-nucleotide ribosomal RNA is filed under the name uncultured bacterium. RNAcentral describes it as "partial 16S ribosomal RNA". It matches the Rfam family "Bacterial small subunit ribosomal RNA", at positions 15 to 225 of the family's 1533-position model. The record is from RNAcentral.
GAUCAUGGCUCAGGACGAACGCUGGCGGCGUGCUUAACACAUGCAAGUCGAACGAAGAGCGAUGGAAGCUUGCUUCUAUCAAUCUUAGUGGCGAACGGGUGAGUAACGCGUAAUCAACCUGCCCUUCAGAGGGGGGACGAACAGUUGGAAACGACUGCUAAUACCGCAUACGAUCCAACCUCGGCGAUCGAGGAUGGAUGAAAGGUGGCCUCUUAUUUAUAAGCUAAUCACUGAAGGG